Molecule: ribosomal RNA, 507 nt
Filed under: uncultured bacterium
Lineage: Bacteria
Description: partial 16S ribosomal RNA
Source: RNAcentral
GGAGUUAGCCGGUGCUUCUUCUGUGAGUGAUGUCCUUCCUGCCGGUUAUUGACCCGCAGGCCUUCUUCCUCACUGAAAGUGCUUUACAACCCGAAGGCCUUCUUCACACACGCGGCAUGGCUGGAUCAGGGUUGCCCCCAUUGUCCAAUAUUCCCCACUGCUGCCUCCCGUAGGAGUCUGGGCCGUGUCUCAGUCCCAGUGUGGCUGAUCAUCCUCUCAGACCAGCUACGGAUCGUCGCCUUGGUGAGCCGUUACCUCACCAACCAGCUAAUCCGACAUAGGCUCAUCCGAUAGCGCGAGGCCCGAAGGUCCCCCGCUUUCCCCCGUAGGGCGUAUGCGGUAUUAGCCUGGGUUUCCCCAGGUUAUCCCCCACUACCGGGCAGAUUCCUAUGCAUUACUCACCCGUCCGCCGCUCGCCACCAGGGAGCAAGCUCCCCGUGCUGCCGCUCGACUUGCAUGUGUAGCUCGCCGCCACGCGUCAUCUGAGCCGACGAACCAACUACUCGA